This 347-nucleotide long non-coding RNA is filed under the name Phoenix dactylifera (date palm). RNAcentral's name for it is "long non-coding RNA (PDAC_LNC013394)". The record is from RNAcentral. Lineage: Eukaryota; Viridiplantae; Streptophyta; Magnoliopsida; Arecales; Arecaceae.
GAGAGUGCAAUAGUUGUGUGUUUGCCUCCAAACCUUGAAGGGCAGUCAACACCUUCUCCUCAAAGGCUGUAUUUCUUUGGGUUGGAAGAGGAGGAUGCUGAAAUUGGGUUGAGGGACGGUAGGGAUGAAAAUUCUGAGGGUUUUGAAAAUUUUGGGAGAAGGGUUGGGAGGUAUUAGAAGCUUGCUGCCUCCAAGAAAAAUUUGGAUGAUUCCGCCAUCCCGGAUUAUAUGUAUUGGAAAAUGGAUCAUUACCCGGUUUGGGCUGUAUUUGGGCAGCAUUGAUGUGUUCUUGCACGAGUUCGGAAUAUUGGGGUGCUGAGGGGCACUCAUGAAUUGGAUGCGAUGGG